Molecule: ribosomal RNA, 408 nt
Filed under: Agrobacterium sp. SCAU696
Lineage: Bacteria; Pseudomonadati; Pseudomonadota; Alphaproteobacteria; Hyphomicrobiales; Rhizobiaceae
Description: bacterial SSU rRNA
Rfam family: Bacterial small subunit ribosomal RNA
Source: RNAcentral
GCUCCGGGAAACUGGAAUUAAUACCGCAUACGCCCUACGGGGGAAAGAUUUAUCGGGGAAGGAUUGGCCCGCGUUGGAUUAGCUAGUUGGUGGGGUAAAGGCCUACCAAGGCGACGAUCCAUAGCUGGUCUGAGAGGAUGAUCAGCCACAUUGGGACUGAGACACGGCCCAAACUCCUACGGGAGGCAGCAGUGGGGAAUAUUGGACAAUGGGCGCAAGCCUGAUCCAGCCAUGCCGCGUGAGUGAUGAAGGCCUUAGGGUUGUAAAGCUCUUUCACCGGAGAAGAUAAUGACGGUAUCCGGAGAAGAAGCCCCGGCUAACUUCGUGCCAGCAGCCGCGGUAAUACGAAGGGGGCUAGCGUUGUUCGGAAUUACUGGGCGUAAAGCGCACGUAGGCGGAUAUUUAAGU